Long non-coding RNA from Raphanus sativus (radish), 1277 nucleotides. RefSeq lists it as uncharacterized. NCBI's taxonomy places the organism in Eukaryota, Viridiplantae, Streptophyta, Magnoliopsida, Brassicales, Brassicaceae. The record is from RefSeq and is a predicted model, not a curated record. The transcript has 6 exons.
UCCCCGACUCUUACACUUCAUCUUCAUCGUUUCAUAAUCACAAUCCACUCUCACCAUUCAAUUCCCUUAUUUACUCUUUUCAUUACAGAUGUUGUCGUUCCAUCUCCUACUUUUUUCUCUCUUAUACAAUCAUUUUUCUCGAAUCGUUCGUUGGUCAAUAUCCAAAACCCUCUAGAGGAGAACAACAAGCGAUGGCCAUGAAAUCUGUUCUGAACUCCGGUCAGUGCAAGGCUUCGUCUCCUCUAAUCGUUGUCCAGGAACCACAGCCUCAGGAAUUUCUCUGCUACCAAAAGAAAAGCUAUCUGUCGCGUUUCUGAUCACUCUUUGAGUAUCGCAUCCUACUUGAUGAUUUUUUUUUUUAUUAGUUCAGAUUCAGAUUUUCAACAUCUGUCGUAACUCUCUGCAUACAUGUUCUGUAAUGUAUUCCUUUGGGGAUUUUGUAUAGGCAUGCCAAAAGAAAGGCGCUCUUUUUAUCUUGAAACAGAUUUGUAGUUUAUGUCGGUUCUUUUCUUCCGUCGCUUGAUUAUUUCAGUAUAGUUGAACUUGACAUCAUCUUAGAUUUGGAGAAUGGGCAUACUUUGCACUUGGUUGUGAGGCAUCCAGCAGAAUCAAUGCCUUCAUCUGGUACGCCUUCAGAAGGAGCUAAUGCAAAUGAUGGAAUUGGUACUAAUGGUGGACCAUCUCGAGGCCGUGGACAGCGUAGUCCUCGGGAGAUUCAAUUCUGCAGAUCAGACUGAAGGCUUUGUUAGCCGGAUUCAUAUUACUGUAUUUCGGUUUAAUGUAGUAUCUCAUAUAAGGUCCGCGUUUCCUGAAUGCUACCUCGGUAACACACUUCUAUUUGACAAUGAAUUGUUUACUGGCUAGAGUGUUCUUAUAGCGUUAUCUGGAUAUGAUGAUUUUAGCAGCUCCACAGCUUCCAAGUAUGGAGGUAUGAAUAAAACUGAAACCAAUAACUCUUACUUAGCUGAACAACAACGUUGUUAACUCUCCAUUGCAGGUUGGUGAACUCUAUUCUUUUCAUUUUAGAUAUAUGUUAGCUCAUGAAUCAUGACCUCUCCAUGCAUAUUACUUUCCUCCUGCUAUUGACCAUGUAGACUGCAGAGUUUCUGUGCACUGCCUAGGUCCGUGACAUUGACACCACUAAUGGAUGGUGCUACAACUUCUGCUCUAAAUGCUACCGAAAACUGCGCUUGGUGCCAUGAAGACACUGCAGUUGGUGCUGUGAGGUAUUGCAAUCGAAUUUAUAUUUAAGAAUUCUUUUUCUAGUAAAUAUAAUA